RNAcentral lists this long non-coding RNA (530 nucleotides) under Fukomys damarensis (Damara mole-rat). RNAcentral's name for it is "lncRNA (ENSFDAG00000028563.1)". Lineage: Eukaryota; Metazoa; Chordata; Mammalia; Rodentia; Bathyergidae. The record is from RNAcentral.
CAGAAUAGUAGAAAAUAGUAAAAUGAGCAUCACAAGAAUGUCUUACACGGAUUUAACGAUUCAGUUUUGUUUUCUUUAGACAAGGUCUCACUGCAUUCCAGGCUGGCCUUGAACUCACUGUGUAGCCAAGACUGGCCUCUAACUCUUCCUGUCUCAGAUGCUUGAGUGCUGGGAUUACCAUUGUGGUCAACCACUUCCACCAUGGAGAAUGCAGAAUUUCCUGUGGGUGGGACCUGUGCAGCACAGCCUGGGUUCAGAGCACAGUGACCAGGCUCUGUGUUCCAGACACUGCAGGACAGGUGAGCUCGGGCUUCAGGUGCCCCAGCAGGCCCUCCACUCAGCAACCCACCACCUGCAGCCAGAUGCGACCCUGGGUGCCAGACUGUGGCACCUCGUGAAGUGCUAUCCUACCAGCCUUAAGCCCAGAGAUGCCACUACCUUCCUAGAACUUUCAGAGCAGUCAUGCAGAGUGUCCAGUCACCCAUUUGCCAUGUACAAUGGUGAAGAGAAUGUGCACAAAGUAUCACCCU